Molecule: small nucleolar RNA, 86 nt
Filed under: Eurypyga helias (sunbittern)
Lineage: Eukaryota; Metazoa; Chordata; Aves; Eurypygiformes; Eurypygidae
Description: Small nucleolar RNA SNORD11
Rfam family: Small nucleolar RNA SNORD11
Source: Rfam by way of RNAcentral
GUAGUCUGUGAUGAUGAUGAUCUCAGUUGGCCUGAACUCUUUCUGGAAUAUGAGGGCAACCUAAGUCACUACCUCUUCUGAGACAC